GGGGAAUCUUGCGCAAUGGGCGAAAGCCUGACGCAGCAACGCCGCGUGGGGGACGAAGGCUCUCGGGUUGUAAACCCCUUUCGACAGGAACGAAAUUGACGGUACCUGGAGAAGAAGCCCCGGCUAACUACGUGCCAGCAGCCGCGGUAAUACGUAGGGGGCGAGCGUUGUCCGGAUUUAUUGGGCGUAAAGAGCUCGUAGGCGGUUACGUAAGUCGGGUGUGAAAGCCCCAGGCUGAACCUGGGGAUGCCACUUGAUACUGCGUUGACUAGAGUCUGGUAGGGGAUCACGGAAUGCCUGGUGUAGCGGUGAAAUGCGCAGAUAUCAGGAGGAACACCGGUGGCGAAGGCGGUGAUCUGGGCCAGUACUGACGCUGAGGAGCGAAAGCGUGGGUAGCAAAC
RNAcentral lists this ribosomal RNA (401 nucleotides) under uncultured bacterium. RNAcentral's name for it is "bacterial SSU rRNA". It matches the Rfam family "Bacterial small subunit ribosomal RNA", at positions 356 to 773 of the family's 1533-position model. The record is from RNAcentral.